AUACUUACCUGGCAAGGGAGACACCGUGAUCAAGAAGGCGGUUCACCCAGGGCGAGGCUCAGCCAUUGCACUCCGGCUGUGCUGACCCCUGCGAAUUUCCCAAAUGUGGAAAUCUCGAUUGCAUAAUUUCUGGUAGUGGGGGACUGCGUUCGCGCUCUCCC
RNAcentral lists this small nuclear RNA (161 nucleotides) under Salmo salar (Atlantic salmon). Its description in RNAcentral is "U1 spliceosomal RNA (ENSSSAG00000103808.1)". It matches the Rfam family "U1 spliceosomal RNA". Rfam says of the family: U1 is a small nuclear RNA (snRNA) component of the spliceosome (involved in pre-mRNA splicing). Its 5' end forms complementary base pairs with the 5' splice junction, thus defining the 5' donor site of an intron. The record is from RNAcentral. Lineage: Eukaryota; Metazoa; Chordata; Actinopteri; Salmoniformes; Salmonidae.